Long non-coding RNA from Gavialis gangeticus (Gharial), 3635 nucleotides. RefSeq lists it as uncharacterized. The transcript is spliced from 2 exons. Lineage: Eukaryota; Metazoa; Chordata; Crocodylia; Gavialidae. The record is from RefSeq and is a predicted model, not a curated record.
CUUGCAUAAGAACUUAGUUUAAAGCUCUCCUUCCUAGGUUGCUCUUUCAAAGAUGCUCUUUACAGAACUGGCCAGAUGGAUCGUAUCACUUGAUAGCAGGCCUUCACCUCAGAACAUCUGCCUGUUUUUCAAAUAAUUCAAGCCCUUCACAUUUAUGCCACCAUCUCAGCCACAUGUUUACUUCCAUGAUAUGAUGGUCCCUGCCUGGGCCCUUAGCUUCCACUUGGAGAAUUGUUAAGAACAACAGUUGUGCUCCAAGCUCCUUAAUCCUCCUGCCAAGCGCCUCAUAGUCACCUCUGAUUUGCUCAGUGUAAUUUCUGGCAGUAUUGUUGGUGCCUGCAUAGAUGAGAAGGAAAGGGUAAUAGUGUGAGGCGUAAAUGAGCUCAGGCAAUCUUUCUGCGAUAUCCUGAAAGUGGGCUCAAGGCAGACAGUGCACCUCCCGAAACCCCAAAUCCAGAUAACAAAUUGGUGCCUCUAUUACCCACAGAAGGGAGUCUCCAACCACCACUACUCUCCUUUUCCUUUUUGGUGCAGUCAUCUUGGAACCACCAUCCCUGGGUCCCUGAGUUUCCUGCUGUAUUGCUGGGUCCUCUGGGUCCCACUGCUGAUGUCCUCACCUCUGCUUUGUUCCCACCUGUUCUACUGCAGGGUGCUUGAAAGCAGUUGCUGACUUAAAUCUGCAUCUGUUGAAUUCUGGGGACCCUUCUAGUAGUGAUAUGUUGCCACUUCUCUUUUCCCUUUGGUCUCUCUUGUGUGCUUCUUACGACUUCUAUCCAAGAAGUCUUCAUUUUCCCUGAUAGCAUGAAGCAUAUAGAUCCCUGAGCUUUCAACCCUUCAAUCUUUUCCUCCAAGGUGGACAUCAGCUUAUACUUGGUACAGAUUAAAUGAUCUUGACCCUCUGGGAGGAACAUGAAUGUGACAUGUCCCAUGCAAGUAACAACAGCUAAUCCAGUUUCUAUUUAUGCCUCCUAUCUUCCCUGGAGGACACCUAGGCUAUAGGAAACAAAGCAAAGUGGGGGAAGAAAAAAAACACGCCCACCCAUGUGUGCAUGCAUGUGUUGCUUGCUGGCUGGCUGGCUGGCUGGCUGUCUAUCUCUCUCUCUCUCAGCCUCCUAUUCCCUGUCUCCCUCCUGUGACAAAUUCUCAGACAGGCUCCCCCUCUGUACUUCUCCUCUGGCUUUAUAGACAUCAGUGGUAUCAUUUUUCCACCUUAAUGUUACUAGCUUAACAGAGCUCUUUCAGGUCAUGUUCACAAGCAUACUAGAGGUAGGCAAAGCUAAAUGGAAAGGUAUCAGAGAUAUGGCCCACAGAGUCCUGUCAUCUGGCCCAUGCAGCUAACAGUGGAGGACAAUGUUAAUUGCUGCUGUUGCCACUUGUCUUUCCACCACAUUUUCAACCUGUGCCCAGCUUCAUGGACUGAAUGACAUGCCUCUGCACUCCAGAUUAAGCCCACAGACCAGACCUGCACUACUCUGGCCCACAGGCUGAAUGGAUUCAUGCUAUAUGAGAGAGUGCUUUGAAAUCUUCCUUAAUCUAACAUGGGCUAGAAGCAUGAAUGGCCUGGUCUGAAUCCAAGCUAAAUGUGGUAGAACCUAGAAUCCGGCAAGCCCUAUUCUUGUAGGUGCUGCUAUCUUAUAGUGCAUCUCCUUGAGGGGACAGAGGCACAGCCUUUUUGGUGUCUUGGGCUGGCUCAAGUCACCCAGCUGCCUGUCAGUGAAUAUAGCCAAAUCCUAUUUAAGCUUCACAUACCUAAAUUGCAUAUAAAUUGUAUGAGGGGAGGUUACCUUUGGCACUACUGUAUAGUUUGGGGUUCUGUUUUGCCCUGUAAUAGCAUAGGACCACCCUGCAGCUCUGUCUUCAUGGCUAAAUUCUUUAAUCACCAGGCCAUGUACUAAGCAUUGCCCUGAGAGUCCUCCAGCCCCCACUUUGAAGAUAGUCCACUGUGCCGUCCAGUCUCUGGAUAAUGCGUUAAAGAAUAAUGGAAAGUUGUUGCCCCAUUAGGAACAGGGGCCUAGGCUAAACUAUAGGGCCCUAUCCUUUCCUGGACAAGAGUCAUAUUGCUGAAAUAUGCCUCUCUCCGCAGCUCUCUCCUAUCCCGCUGUUUUGGUGCCCUGUGGGCCAGUGUCAAGAUUGGCUUCUUAGGCUCGUGAAGGGGAAAUAGAAGCAGAUCCCUUGUCAUUCAGGCUAAGGCAGUUGGAUGUGGUGCUGAGCCUCACCAUCAGGCAUGGUUUAAGCAGCUACAGAAAGAUGGCGUCUUUUAUUUACAUGAGCUCAAGGGGCCCCUUGGCUCAGGUGGACUUUUUAAGGGACUUGAUAUGCUCCUUAAGCUUACUAGUUUCUGUUGUUCUACAACUGCUAGCUGUUGCAUAGAGUUAAACGUGUUUGCACUUCUGCAGAAUUAUGAGCACAGUCCCCAGCCUGCUUGUCACUGAUACUAAGUUGGCACCAAAACCACACCCCUCCAGGUGUUUGGAUGAACUUUCAGGCCUCAAAUACCCUUAGGUUGCCAGAGGGGCUUUAAUGCUGCCAGAAGAGGCAGAAGGCAAGAGGUGGAUGCAGCUGCCACUUCUCAUUGCCAAAUUUCUGACCUUAAGGCAGCUCUGUGGGCUGGAUGACAUACAUGGCUCUGCACUCUGGAUCUAGGCCAUUGACCAACCCCACACCACACAUCUUGCCUCUGGGGCUGAAUGAGUUUGGCACCCUGAUCUAGCCAGUGAAGAUAUCGCAGCAUAGCCUUCAGUUCAGGUUAGGUCCUGGGCAUGUAGUCCAGGGGAUAAAAAGACAGCACCUGAAGAGGGGGGGAAUAAACUGAACUUGGUUCUCUGAGAUGGGAUAUUUUGGAUAAGCUAGACUCGCUAAAGCCCUAAGGUAAGAUGAAUAUUAUUUGGACUUUUUGUGAUAAAAAACAUUUUAUUUGUUCAGCUUUGUUUCUGCUGUUGAGAGUAAACUGUUCUCUGUUUUGGAAAAGCUUGUUUAGGUCUUCAUAUUGAGCAUGGGUCCCUGUUCCUGAAGUGAAGCCGCCACAAGAUUCAAACCCAUUCAGACCUGCUGAGCAUUCAUAGCUGGUUCACCAUCACUCCAGCUCCAGUCUGCAAUGUCAGGGAUCCACGCCUGCUGCAACAGUGAGUAUUUCGGCUCCUCUGAGACCAUUAUGGUGAGAAGCCUCUCAGCAUCUGGCUUCUGCCAAUUGCCCCUGCUAGGGCAAGUGACCUCACUGUGUUGCUCACGUUCCCUCAGGGACCAUUUUUCCAGUCCUCCCUGGGUGUUGCUCCAGGUUGCUUUUGAACCAGUGGACACAGGCCGGGUGCCAAAUCACUGCCAACACACAUUUACAAAGCAUGCCCAGACUGGCACUGGAAGUCCGCCCUGGUCUGCUGCCAUGCUCAGCAUCAGCUGUUCCACUCGUCAGUCCCGUGCCGCAGGUAAGUUACCUCUCAUGGUAGUGUCCCUGGCACAGUGGUCUUGGAGUAGUUUUGUAUUUAUGGGAUGAUGACAGAAAUCAGCCCUUGAGAAGAGCAUGGCCAGGGAAGAGGGGGCAGUGGACCAAUUCUUGUCGCUGGCUUUACAUUUUCACAAUCUAAAUGAAGUAGGAACUUUGCAAUAACUCUAAGCAGGAGAUGGGCAGGUUUGGCUGG